GUGCAGCAGGCGAGAAAACUUCACACUGUGCGAAAGCACGAUGAGGGAAUCCCAAGUGCUUGCACGUAAGUGUAAGCUGUUUCUCUGUCUAAAACGCAGAGAGAGUAAGGGCUGGGUAAGACGGGUGCCAGCCGCCGCGGUAAUACCUGCAGCUCAAGUGGUGACCGUUAUUAUUGGGCCUAAAACGUCCGUAGCCGGUUUAAUAAAUGCCUGGGUAAAUUGUGUAGCUUAACUAUACGAAUUCCGGGUAGACUGUUAAACUUGAGACCGAGAGAAGUUAGAGGUACUCCUGGGGUAGAGGUGAAAUUCUGUAAUCCUAGGGGGACCACCAGUGGCGAAGGCGUCUAACUAGAACGGGUCUGACGGUGAGGGACGAAGCCCUGGGGCGCAAACGGGGAUUAGAUACCCCUGUAGU
This 415-nucleotide ribosomal RNA is filed under the name uncultured microorganism. Its description in RNAcentral is "bacterial SSU rRNA". It matches the Rfam family "Archaeal small subunit ribosomal RNA", at positions 330 to 745 of the family's 1478-position model. The record is from RNAcentral.